CGUAAUGUAGAAUCAGUGGGAGCUCUGACCUUGUUUUCUUGCAACUAGACAGUCCUGUCUGGGGGGUGAUGGGAGACACUGACAGAUCAUUCAGCAUUAGGUUUUCAUAAGGAGUGCCUAACCUAGAUCCCUCGCAUGUGCAGUUCACAGUAGGGUCCAUGCUCCUAUGAGAAUCUAGUGCUGCCACUGAUCUGACAGGAGGCGGAGCUCCAAUACAGAGUGGCUGUGAAUACAGGCUGCGCUCCUCCUGCUGGGCCACCCGGUUCCCCACAGGUAGUUGGGGACGCUGGUGUAGGGGUCUUUCCUUCCUCCUGAGGUCUGCCUCCCAUGCCUGGAUCCGGUGCCCUCUCCCUUCUCAGGACCCUGUUAUUCCCACCCUCUCCACACUUCUUCCCAUUGGCUUUCAGACACACUCCUAUUUUAGUUUCUUCUACUGGACCCUCCAACCUCCAGUUAAAGCCCAUCGCUCUCUUCCAUCUCACAGCCAAAUGCUCACAGCCAAAUGUUGUCUUUACUUUCUCUCCCUUCACUCUUAAAUUCACUUCACUCUGGUUUCUGGCCCCAUCAUUCCACUAAAGACUUCUCACCAAAGUUAACUAGAUGGAAGUCGAUCCACCAGACCUUCUCUGCUUCCUUCCCUGACCUCAGUAGAUCAAAUGCUCCCUUCAUUUGCUUUCUGAAACCUGGUGCUUUCUGGUUAUCUUUUGGCCUCUCUGGUCUCCUUGUCUCUUUUGCAUAAUCAUUCUCCUCCUAGCCAUUAAUUGGUGGGUUAUGGACUCAGCCACGUGUCUGUUCCUUUUCACAUGCUGUGCACUUUCCGCAGGUGACCCACUUCAUGCAGCUUCAAUGACCACGUGUAGACAGGUGAAAGGUUCAUACUUCUGGCCCAAAUACCUUCUUAUCUGCAACCCCAUGUGCACAGCGCCUUGACAUCUCUUCUUGGCUAUCUCUGUGGCACCUCAAACUCGGCAUAUUUAAAACUGAAUUUGUUGGGGGAAGAUGAAAAAAACCAACCUUCUCUCAAACUUGGCUCUCUUCUGGUAUUACCUAUCUCAGGUAAUACUAGACCUGAGGUAAUCCAUCCAUCUGGUUGUGAGUCAGAUGUUAUCAAGGAGUCAUCCUUGAUAACACCUCUCUCCUUCACAUUCUUGAAAUCCAACCUGUUACUAAGCCUUAGGAUUUCACUUCCCAAAUAUCUCUGAAAUUUGUCUACUUCUCUCCAUCUCCUCUUUUCCCACUUUCUGACUCAUCAUUAUCUCUGGCCAUUAUAAUCUAGUGGCUUCUUACUGUAGUCCCCUGGCAUCCAUUCUUGCCUUUUUCUAGUCCGUGUUCUACAUCACAGGCAGGGUGCCCUUUUCAAAACGCAUCUCGGUGCUUGUAUGUAACAGGUGCUUGUAUGUAAUCAGACUGCCACCUGUAUACACCAUGAAAACAUGAGAAAGCAUUUUCCAGAACACUUGGAAGUAUUCCAGAGCAGCUUAUUGCACUGAUGGACAGUUUCUAUUGAUUAGUAGCUAUCUUGGUUAUCUGAUUGAAAAAACAUAGCGUAUAUAGAGUUGGGUACUAUCUGUGGUUUCAGGCAUUGACUGGGGGUCUUGGAAUAUAUCUCCCUCAGAUAAGGGGACCCCUUACUGUAGUUCUGAGGCUCAUCUGUAUUCUAAGUGUGUAAAUAGGGAAUAUUGAAACAGGAGGUGUGUCCAAGAGAAUAAUGCCUGGCUGAUUGAAUAGCAGUGACCUGGAGAUGUGGGCCCCAGUUUCAGCUCUGCUGAGCACUCGUGUGAUUUUGUGCAAAUCGCUGGCCUCUGCGGGCUUCAGUUUCCUCAUUUAUGUCAUGGGGUGAUGCUUAUCUCAAUACUCUUUGCAGUGUUUCUGGCUCUUGUCGUUUUAUGUUUCUGUGAAUAAAGAAACUUACAGUUGCCCCUCAGUAUCCGCAGAGGAUUGAUUCCAGGACACCUCCCACCCCUUCACAGAUAGCAAAAUCUGCAAAUGCUCAAGACCCUCUUGUAAAUGGUGUAGUAUUUGCAUAUAACCUACUUACAUCCUCUGGAAUACUUUAAAUCACCUCUAGAUUACUUAUACUACCUAAUACAGUGAAAUUGUUGUUAUACUGUAUUUUUAUUUGCAUUACUUUUUAUUUUUUUAAUUAUUUUUUUAAAGACUCUUUUCAAUUAAUGACUGAUUGAAUUAGAGGGUGUGGAAUGCUCGGAUACAGAGGGACAACUGUAGUAGAUUCUUCCAGUUUGCAGAUAAAGAAACUGAGGUCCAGAGAUGUUGUGACUUCCCCCAGAGUCACACAGCUAACUGGGGCAACCCAGGGCCAUUAUCUCAUGACUCCCAGGCUUCAGUACUGGAAAAAUAAUCGUGUCAUGCUUUCCUUUCUAGAUGGUAGAAACUUUGGAAUGUGUGAUUUUGAAUACUGAGAACAGCCCAAAAAUGUCACAUAGUCCCUAUGCUAAAGCACAUGCAUUUUAUCAGUAGGGACAAGAUUGAGGGCCAUCACUUAAUUUAAAACAAAUUGUAACCCAUCUAGUGAUCUGGACUCUUGGCCUGUAGAUGAGAUACAGGAAAGCGGAUGUAAGUGUGAAGGCAACAGCCCAGUGUUGCUGAGUGCCGGGCACAGCAUGUGCCAUCAUUUCACAGCAACUAAAAUGCUGACCUUACAGGUUCAUGGUUUCAUUUUUGGUCUUCAUGAAAAGCUUGAAUUCUCUUUAGCUUCAGUUUGCAACACAAAUAAAGAAUAUAUUUGAGACUGAUUGUCACAGAAUUUUCUAAUUACCCACAUGUGGAGCGAUUUCCUAAUGUGAAAUACUUUUCUUGAUGGUAUGAGAUCAGUACCAUUGGACAUACACAGUUUAUUCAGUUGGCCUUUGGUAAAAAGAAGUUCUUUGGUAUGCAAAAAUUUUCCAAGUCACUUCUUGCAAUAUUAUAAAAUGUAUUACUUGAAUAAAAUGUUGAACUCAUGG
Molecule: long non-coding RNA, 2963 nt
Filed under: Homo sapiens (human)
Lineage: Eukaryota; Metazoa; Chordata; Mammalia; Primates; Hominidae
Description: non-protein coding lnc-CAPN9-4:1
Source: RNAcentral